AGCGAACGCUGGCGGCAUGCCUAACACAUGCAAGUCGAACGAUUGCCUUCGGGUGAUAGUGGCGCACGGGUGCGUAACGCGUGGGAAUCUGCCCUUAGGUUCGGAAUAUCAGCUGGAAACGGCUGCUAAUACCGGAUGAUAUCGCGAGAUCAAAGAUUUAUCGCCUGAGGAUGAGCCCGCGAUGGAUUAGGUAGUUGGUGGGGUAAAGGCCUACCAAGCCGACGAUCCAUAGCUGGUCUGAGAGGAUGAUCAGCCACACUGGGACUGAGACACGGCCCAGACUCCUACGGGAGGCAGCAGUGGGGGAUAUUGGACAAUGGGGGCAAGCCUGAUCCAGCAAUGCCGCGUGAGUGAUGAAGGCCCUAGGGUUGUAAAGCUCUUUUAACCGGGAAGAUAAUGACUGUACCGGGAGAAUAAGCCCCGGCUAACUACGUG
RNAcentral lists this ribosomal RNA (435 nucleotides) under uncultured bacterium. RNAcentral's name for it is "partial 16S ribosomal RNA". It matches the Rfam family "Bacterial small subunit ribosomal RNA", at positions 29 to 507 of the family's 1533-position model. The record is from RNAcentral.